AUAGCUCAGUGGUAGAGCCCCCGCUUCGAAUGCGGGCAGGCUCGGGUUGUAUUCCCCGAU
This 60-nucleotide transfer RNA is filed under the name Toxocara canis (dog roundworm). It matches the Rfam family "tRNA", at positions 7 to 64 of the family's 71-position model. Rfam says of the family: Transfer RNA (tRNA) molecules are approximately 80 nucleotides in length. Their secondary structure includes four short double-helical elements and three loops (D, anti-codon, and T loops). Further hydrogen bonds mediate the characteristic L-shaped molecular structure. tRNAs have two regions of fundamental functional importance: the anti-codon, which is responsible for specific mRNA codon recognition, and the 3' end, to which the tRNAs corresponding amino acid is attached (by aminoacyl-tRNA synthetases). tRNAs cope with the degeneracy of the genetic code in two manners: having more than one tRNA (with a specific anti-codon) for a particular amino acid; and 'wobble' base-pairing, i.e. permitting non-standard base-pairing at the 3rd anti-codon position. The record is from Rfam by way of RNAcentral. Lineage: Eukaryota; Metazoa; Nematoda; Chromadorea; Rhabditida; Toxocaridae.